Molecule: long non-coding RNA, 267 nt
Organism: Trichomycterus rosablanca
Lineage: Eukaryota; Metazoa; Chordata; Actinopteri; Siluriformes; Trichomycteridae
Exons: 4
Source: RefSeq, a predicted model, not a curated record
AGGAGACUGGCACUCAAAGUACAGUGCGCCCCUUUAUCCACCAAUCUGAUGAUGGUGUUAGACUCUCUGUGGAGGAGACUGGCACUCAAAGUACAGUGCGCCCCUUUAUCUGCCAGUCUGAUGAUGGUGUUAGACUCUCUGUGGAGGAGACUGGCACUCAAAGUACAGUGCGCCCCUUUUCUUACUGAACUGAUGAAAGUGUUAGUGUGGCACAAUGCAGUAUUGAAUCAGCACACUCCAGCUGAACGUUGUGCAUGUAUUAGCUGU